CCCCUCUCAGGGUCGCACUUGGAGAGUUUCCAGUACUCUACCAGUCUCAGCUACGGGAGAGAGAGUCAAGCAGAGGCAGAUCCAUUUCAUUCCUAGCUUGGCCAGUGGCUAGUGAGUGGAAGGCAAAUCUGCUACAAGU
Tachyglossus aculeatus (Australian echidna) is the source of this 139-nucleotide small nucleolar RNA. NCBI's taxonomy places the organism in Eukaryota, Metazoa, Chordata, Mammalia, Monotremata, Tachyglossidae. The record is from RefSeq and is a predicted model, not a curated record.